This 422-nucleotide ribosomal RNA is filed under the name uncultured bacterium. RNAcentral describes it as "partial 16S ribosomal RNA". It matches the Rfam family "Bacterial small subunit ribosomal RNA", at positions 360 to 774 of the family's 1533-position model. The record is from RNAcentral.
AAUUUUGGACAAUGGGGGAAACCCUGAUCCAGCCAUCCCGCGUGUAUGAUGAAGGCCUUCGGGUUGUAAAGUACUUUUGGCAGAGAAGAAAAGGUAUCUCCUAAUACGAGAUACUGCUGACGGUAUCUGCAGAAUAAGCACCGGCUAACUACGUGCCAGCAGCCGCGGUAAUACGUAGGGUGCAAGCGUUAAUCGGAAUUACUGGGCGUAAAGCGUGUUGUGGCGGUUCGGAAAGAAAGGAGUGAAAUCACAGGGGUCAACCUUGGAAUGGCAUUUUUAACUGCCGGGCUAGGGUAUGUCAGAGGGGGGUAGAAUUCCACGUGUAGCAGUGAAAUGCGUAGAUAUGUGGAGGAAUACCGAUGGCGAAGGCAGCCCCCUGGGAUAAUACUGACGCUCAGACACGAAAGCGUGGGGAGCAAACA